This 212-nucleotide ribosomal RNA is filed under the name Phycisphaerales bacterium. RNAcentral's name for it is "partial 16S ribosomal RNA". It matches the Rfam family "Bacterial small subunit ribosomal RNA", at positions 1313 to 1533 of the family's 1533-position model. The record is from RNAcentral. Lineage: Bacteria; Pseudomonadati; Planctomycetota; Phycisphaerae; Phycisphaerales.
CGACUGCGUGAAGGCGGAGUCGCUAGUAAUCGCGAAUCAGCAACGUCGCGGUGAAUGCUUUCCCGGGCCUUGUACACACCGCCCGUCAAGUCAUGGAAGCCGGGAGUGCCCAAAGUCACGUCAUUUCAGGCGUGCCUACGGCAAGUUCGGUGACUGGGACUAAGUCGUAACAAGGUAGCCGUAGGAGAACCUGCGGCUGGAUCACCUCCUUU